UAAACUCUGACUCCUACCAUCUACACACAUAGUGACUGUUCCAGAGUGGCCCAGGUAGGCUGUGCAGUAGUUUAAAACAGAGGGAAGUAUUUGUGUCUAAAACUAACCUUAACCUGUGCUGUCUCACUUGUAGCAGAAGCCUGGUUUUGUCUGGUUUUGCUCGAAAGUGACUGGUUAUCUCGAAUGGUUGAUGAUCGUGUGCUUUAGCAAGUUCUCUCUCGUCUCUGCACUGGAGAACGUCAAGCUGUUGAAAUGAUGGGGAGGUUUUUGUUUUUGUUUUUGUUUUUUAAAGGCUCUGCAUUGAGGUGUGGAGGACACUAGAAAUGAUGCCCUGGGCCUAGACUGCCUCCUGGGUUUUUGAGCUGCUCUGACAGCUUCUGUUCCUGUUGACUUAGAAGUCUGCUUGACACAGAGCCUGAUUUGUUUUGACUCUCAUGUCUUGGGCAGGACUUGUUAGUUAAAAAUAGGUUAUUCCUUGCAAAUUUAGGACUUAAGUUUUAUGCCCAGUUCAUACAAUGACCUGUCAACCUCCCCUGCUCCCUUCUUUCCUUUAACUUGACCGCUUGGCUCCAAAUGGCAAUCUCACCUAGACUUUAUUAUAGGGUACUGGUUGGUCUAAGGUGGCUGUGUCUAUUUUAAAAUUAUGAGUAAAUGAUAUAUUCCUCUUUUUUUUAAUACUGUGAACAAAGAAUUGGGAGAUAGAACAGUUAACAUGUUGGGCUGGGAAGGGACAAAGUAUUAGAUAGGAACAGAGGGUGUCCAUUCCCUUCAGUCAGCAUAAUAACCUUCCUGUGUAAAAUGCCAAAUGUAUGGUUAUGUUACUUUAAAUGACUGAACUGGAAUUUUAUAGCAAUUAGUACUCUAUGCAAUCUUGUCAUCUUAGCCAAAACUGGAAGAGAAAAUAAGCUAAAAAGUUGAUUUUACACACACACACACCGUGUUAUGCAGAGUUAAAAAGCUGCAUGUGAAUAUUAUCUUAGUAGCCAAGACUGUCAUUUAGGUCUGUGGGGAGGCUGUUCGCUUGCUUCAUAGAUAUGUGUACACACACACUCAUAAGCUUUGUCCCAGCAGGAAGAGUCAGCGAAUCCAUGAAUUGUUUACUUUCUGAUUCCAAAUUGGUUUCUUACUUUUCUGUGGUCAGGUUUAAUUAACCUAGACAGCUCAGCAGAGCAGACAUCGCAAGCGUGGAUGUGUGUAUGUGUAGAUGUGUGUAUAUUUUAAGAUGUAGUACUUACAAAUCAGUUAACUCUGGGUGCAAAUAUUGAACUUCACAUUUUUUUAUUUUUCUUCUAGAUGAAGUAAAAAACUCCUAGGGAAAGGCUCCAAUAGUUCAAACCUCAGCAUAGUGACUUUGCGUUUUUCCCUGCACACCACAGACUCAUAUGCAGGUCUCUAACCAGAUCUGUGCUCAUGUGAACCUUGCACUCAUGUGAACUGUGUAUAUAUAGGGACACUUUCAGAAACUGGGCCCAACACACAUGAGAGUGGCAUAAAGUGUCUGCUCUUCUGCCUGCUUUACAGUAACAUCUCUGCAAACACACAAAAACAGAUCUCUGCCUUCAAACACCUUUGUAAUGCAUUACUUAAGAUUCUGUCUAUAUUGUCUUAUCAUCUGGAGAACUAUUUUAUUGAAAACCUCUAGUUUCUUGGCCACAGGAGUUUUGUAACAGAGGUACUCUGUAUGUUGCCACAGUAGACUUGAUGGUUGCUUUAGUUACUAGAUCUGAGCAGUCUCUCAUUUGUACACGAUUGUAAAUUGCGUCCUUUCCAUGAGUGCUGUGUACCUAAGGUCUGGAGGUUGUAAUUAGGUGUUCCCAUAUGAAUAAACAUUUUAGUAACAGUGGACUUAAAAGUUACAGAUAGGAGAUAGUCCUCAAGCCUGAGAGGAAGCUGGAUGAGGGUCAGUAGUCACGAUCCAGGUGUGUCCAGCCAGAUCAAGAACAAAGGACGGUUGUCUGAACUACUCAGCUGGAAUAAAGAGUGGGCAAGGAGGAGACCAUUGUAGUGUGUGUACCUGUCCCCAUGCUUCCUUUCCUCUUCACGGUUCCUCCUCACCCUCCCUGGCCCUUUGGUGGGGGUUCUUCAUGGCUGGGGGUGGGCUGGAACAGAAGUGAGGUUCCUGCACUUUGCUGAUUGAGCCGCUCCCAGGUUUGCUGGCAGCUUUGGCCACGUUGUGAGGUGGCUGUUUUCCUUGUGUUCAGAGUGACUUGAGUUCUGAGGAUUGAUGUUUGUGUGGAACGGCGCUUUGUCUGUGUUUUAGCAGAGCUGUUCCUCUCAUCCUUUAAGAUUUUUCCCCCUGGUUUUGUUUUCUUUUUAAAUUAUACAAAUGACUUUUUUUUGGUAUGUGUGUGAGAAAGACAUUAAAGCCUUUAUUAACCUCA
RNAcentral lists this long non-coding RNA (2381 nucleotides) under Rattus norvegicus (Norway rat). RNAcentral's name for it is "long non-coding RNA NONRATT030160". The record is from RNAcentral. Lineage: Eukaryota; Metazoa; Chordata; Mammalia; Rodentia; Muridae.